GAUUCCCAGCCAUGGCUGGUAAUGACACCAAUCUGCAGCACCAAAAAAAGUUAGAAAAUAUAUUAUAGUAAAUAUUGCAUAUUAUAUCUAUACAUACCCCAUCAAACGCCCAAGCGUUAUGAAUUACGAUGCAGUUAAAGAUGUACUCCCUUAAUAGGCUCUUUUUGUAGGCGGCACGAAAGAUCUGUGUAAAACUUCGCUUCGCGAUGAUCACGUCAACCUCGGGAGUAAAUAACUCUCAAACCCGGCUGGUCUGAAUCUUCAGACACAUCUCGUGGUUCAAACUCCCAACCCGAAGCUGAUAGUCAAACCUUCCCUUUUUUAAAAGGUUUUUGUUUAUUAUGACAUCGGAACUCUGACUAUAUGCUUUACGUAGACUUUGAAGAUGUCUGUUAAUCCUUUAUAUGUAACGUAAAAACUUACCGUGUAAGAUCUAAAGUUGGCCUAUCCUUUGCCUGUCUGAUAUACACGCAAAUGAUUCAUAGCUAGCCCAGAGGUGUUCAGAAUUAGGAAUACAUUGCUAUUAUCU
Molecule: long non-coding RNA, 529 nt
Organism: Daphnia pulex (common water flea)
Lineage: Eukaryota; Metazoa; Arthropoda; Branchiopoda; Diplostraca; Daphniidae
Exons: 3
Source: RefSeq, a predicted model, not a curated record